This 429-nucleotide ribosomal RNA is filed under the name Pseudomonadota bacterium. RNAcentral's name for it is "Proteobacteria bacterium partial 16S ribosomal RNA". It matches the Rfam family "Bacterial small subunit ribosomal RNA", at positions 355 to 776 of the family's 1533-position model. Lineage: Bacteria; Pseudomonadati; Pseudomonadota. The record is from RNAcentral.
UGGGGAAUAUUGGACAAUGGGCGAAAGCCUGAUCCAGCCAUGUCGCGGGUGUGAAGAAGGUCUUCGGAUUGUAAAGCACGUUAAGUUGGGAGGAAGGGCAGUAAGCGAAUACCUUGCUGUUUUGACGUUACCGACAGAAUAAGCACCGGCUAACUCUGUGCCAGCAGCCGCGGUAAUACAGAGGGUGCAAGCGGUAAUCGGAAUUACUGGGCGUAAAGCGCGCGUAGGUGGUUCGUUAAGUUGAAUGUGAAAGCCCAGGGCUCAACCUGGGAACUGCAUCCAAAACUGGCAAGCUAGAGUAGGGCAGAAAGUGGUCAAAUUUACUGUGUAGCCGUGAAAUGCGUAGAUAUACGAAAGAACACCAGUGGCAAAGGCGACCACCUGGGCUCAUACUGACACUGAGGUGCGAAAGCGUGGAGAGCAAACAGG